This 440-nucleotide ribosomal RNA is filed under the name uncultured bacterium. Its description in RNAcentral is "partial 16S ribosomal RNA". It matches the Rfam family "Bacterial small subunit ribosomal RNA", at positions 338 to 795 of the family's 1533-position model. The record is from RNAcentral.
CCUACGGGAGGCAGCAGUAGGGGAUAUUGCUCAAUGGGGGAAACCCUGAAGCAGCAACGCCGCGUGGAGGAUGAAGGUUUUCGGAUUGUAAACUCCUGUUGUUAGAGAAGAUAAUGACGGUAUCUAACGAAUAAGCACCGGCUAACUCCGUGCCAGCAGCCGCGGUAAUACGGAGGGUGCAAGCGUUACCCGGAUUCACUGGGCGUAAAGAGGGCGGAGGCGGGAUAGCAAGUCAGAUGUGAAAUCCUAUGGCUUAACCAUAGAACUGCAUUUGAAACUGUUAUUCUAGAGUAUGGGAGAGGUAGGUGGAAUUCUUGGUGUAGGGGUAAAAUGCGUAGAGAUCAGGAGGAAUACUCGUUGCGAAGGCGACCUGCUAGAACAUAACUGACGCUGAUGCGCGAAAGCGUGGGGAGCAAACAGGAUUAGAUACCCGGGUAGUC